This 559-nucleotide ribosomal RNA is filed under the name uncultured bacterium. RNAcentral's name for it is "bacterial SSU rRNA". It matches the Rfam family "Bacterial small subunit ribosomal RNA", at positions 120 to 674 of the family's 1533-position model. The record is from RNAcentral.
GGGAAACUGCCCGAUGGAGGGGGAUAACUACUGGAAACGGUAGCUAAUACCGCAUAACGUCGCAAGACCAAAGUGGGGGACCUUCGGGCCUCACACCAUCGGAUGUGCCCAGAUGGGAUUAGCUAGUAGGUGGGGUAAUGGCUCACCUAGGCGACGAUCCCUAGCUGGUCUGAGAGGAUGACCAGCCACACUGGAACUGAGACACGGUCCAGACUCCUACGGGGGGCAGCAGUGGGGAAUAUUGCACAAUGGGCGCAAGCCUGAUGCAGCCAUGCCGCGUGUAUGAAGAAGGCCUUCGGGUUGUAAAGUACUUUCAGCGGGGAGGAAGGCGGUGAGGUUAAUAACCUCACCGAUUGACGUUACCCGCAGAAGAAGCACCGGCUAACUCCGUGCCAGCAGCCGCGGUAAUACGGAGGGUGCAAGCGUUAAUCGGAAUUACUGGGCGUAAAGCGCACGCAGGCGGUCUGUCAAGUCGGAUGUGAAAUCCCCGGGCUUAACCUGGGAACUGCAUUCGAAACUGGCAGGCUAGAGUCUUGUAGAGGGGGGUAGAAUUCCAGGU